ACCAGUCUUGGUAGGUUGAGGCUGAAUAAUUGCAGAGAACUUGAGAGUCUUCCAAGCAGCAUUUCUCACAUGAAAUCUCUUAAAUACCUUGAUGUUUCUGGAUGCUCAAAGCUUGAAAAGUUUCCAGAAAUUUUGGAGGUUAGGAAGAAGCUAUCUGAGCUUUGUUUGGGUGGCACUGCAAUUAAGGAGCUGCCUGCUUCUAUUUUAAAUCUCAUCAGUCUUGUUAGGUUGAGGCUGAAUAAUUGCAGAGAACUUGAGAGUCUUCCAAGCAGCAUUUCUCACAUGAAAUCUCUUAAAUACCUUGAUGUUUCUGGAUGCUCAAAGAUUGAGAAGUUUCCAGAAAUUUUGGAGGUUAGGAAGGAGCUAUCUGAUCUUUGUUUGGGUGGCACUGCAAUUAAGGAGCUGCCUGCUUCUAUUUUAAAUCUCACCAGUCUUGUUACUUUGAAUUUGAAUGAUUGCAGAGAACUUGAGAGUCUUCCAAGCAGCAUUUCUCACAUGAAAUCUCUUGAGUACCUUGAUGUUUCUGGAUGCUCAAAGAUUGAGAAGUUUCCAGAAAUUUUGGAGGUUAGGAACGUGCUAUCUAAGCUUUGUUUGGGUGGCACUGCAAUUAAGGAGCUGCCUGCUUCUAUUUUAAAUCUCACCAGUCUUGUUACUUUGAAUUUGAAUGAUUGCAGAGAACUUGAGAGUCUUCCAAGCUGCAUUUCUCACAUGAAAUCUCUUGAAUACCUUGAUGUUUCUGGAUGCUCAAAGCUUGAGAAGUUUCCAGAAAAUUUGGAGGUUAUGAAUGAGCUAUCUGAGCUUUGUUUGGGUGGCACUGCAAUUAAGGAGCUGCCUGCUUCUAUUUUAAAUCUCACCAGUCUUGUUACUUUGAAGUUGAAUGAUUGCGGAGAACUUGAGAGUCUUCCAAGCAUCAUUUCUCACAUGAAAUCUCUUAAAUACCUUGAUGUUUCUGGAUGCUCAAAGCUUGAGAAGUUUCCAGAAAUUUUGGAGGUUAGGAAGGAGCUAUCUAAGCUUUGUUUGGGUGGCACUGCAAUUAAGAAGCUGCCUGCUUCUAUUUUAAAUCUCACCAGUCUUGAUACUUUGAAACUGAAUGAUUGCAGAGAACUUGAGAGUCUUCCAAGCAGCAUUUCUCACAUGAAAUCUCUUAAAUAC
This 1152-nucleotide long non-coding RNA is filed under the name Malus domestica (apple). RNAcentral describes it as "long non-coding RNA (MDOM_LNC018186)". Lineage: Eukaryota; Viridiplantae; Streptophyta; Magnoliopsida; Rosales; Rosaceae. The record is from RNAcentral.